GCCAUGCGAGUCAUUGUAGCAAUACAAGGCAGACGGCUCAGUAACGCGUAGUCAAUCUACCCUGUUGACGGGGAUAACCUCGGGAAACUGAGAAUAAUACCCGAUAGAACAUUAUGCCUGGAAUGGUUUAUGUUUCAAAUGAUUUAUCGCAAUAGGAUGGGACUGCGGCCUAUCAGUUUGUUGGUGAGGUAAUGGCCCACCAAGACUAUUACAGGUACGGGCUCUGAGAGGAGUGGCCCGGAGAUGGGUACUGAGACACGGACCCAGGCCCUAUGGGGCGCAGCAGGCGAGAAAACUUUGCAAUGUGCGAAAGCACGACAAGGUUAAUCCGAGUGGUUUCUGCUAAAGAAACCUUUUGUCAGUCCUAGAAACACUGAUGAAUAAGGGGUGGGCAAGUUCUGGUGUCAGCCGCCGCGGUAAAACCAGCACCUCAAGUGGUCAGGAUGAUUAUUGGGCCUAAAGCAUCCGUAGCUUGUUUUGUAAGUUUUCGGUUAAAUCCAUACGCUUAACGUAUGGGCUGCCGGGAAUACUGCAUAACUAGGAAGUGGGAGAGGUAGACGGUACUCGGUAGGAAGGGGUAAAAUCCUUUGAUCUAUUGAUGACCACCUGUGGCGAAGGCGGUCUACCAGAACACGUUCGACGGUGAGGGAUGAAAGCUGGGGGAGCAAACCGGAUUAGAUACCCGGGUAGUCCCAGCUGUAAACUAUGCAAACUCAGUGAUGCAUUGGCUUGUGGCCAAUGCAGUGCUGCAGGGAAGCCGUUAAGUUUGCCGCCUGGGAAGUACGUACGCAAGUAUGAAACUUAAAGGAAUUGGCGGGGGAGCACCACAAGGGGUGAAGCCUGCGGUUCAAUUGGAGUCA
This 860-nucleotide ribosomal RNA is filed under the name uncultured archaeon. Its description in RNAcentral is "bacterial SSU rRNA". It matches the Rfam family "Archaeal small subunit ribosomal RNA", at positions 48 to 914 of the family's 1478-position model. The record is from RNAcentral.